CCUACGGGUGGCAGCAGUGAGGAAUAUUGGUCAAUGGCCGGAAGGCUGAACCAGCCAAGCCGCGUGAGGGAGGAAGGCGCAGAGCGUCGCAGACCUCUUUUGCCGGGGGACAAAAGGCCGGACUCGUCCGGUCCUGAGGGUACCCGGCGAAAAAGCAUCGGCUAAAUCCGUGCCAGCAGCCGCGGUAAUACGGAGGAUCCGAGCGUUAUCCGGAUUUAUUGGGUUUAAAGGGUGUGUAGGCGGCCUUUUAAGUCAGCGGUGAAAGUCUGUGGCUCAACCAUAGAAUUGCCGUUGAAACUGGGGGGCUUGAGUAUGUUUGAGGCAGGCGGAAUGCGUGGUGUAGCGGUGAAAUGCAUAGAUAUCACACAGAACACCGAUUGCGAAGGCAUCUCACGAAUCCGCGAUUGACGCUGAUGCACGAAAGCGUGGGUAUCAAACAGGAUUAGAUACCCCUGUAGUC
This 460-nucleotide ribosomal RNA is filed under the name uncultured bacterium. RNAcentral's name for it is "partial 16S ribosomal RNA". It matches the Rfam family "Bacterial small subunit ribosomal RNA", at positions 338 to 795 of the family's 1533-position model. The record is from RNAcentral.